GUUACGGUAGAGGAAGGGUGCAUGUGGACCAGGUCAUAAGUGGGGUCCUGGCCUGGGUCCAUCUCACAAUGGGCCUAUUGUAGCCAGGGACCCACUUGGUGGUCAUUUUCCCAGCCCCUGAGUGUACAAAGGGAAGAAAAUACUUAGCGGUUGGCAGAAUCUUCGAGCUGGUUCCAGGAGCUGCAGAGCCUGCUAUUGUACUAGCAAAGGCCAGGUGGAAGCCCCUGAUACAGUCCCUCGAUAGAUAGCCCUCCGCCCGUCCCGUCCCAGCCAAGGUCGUAAGUCAACAUCAAUGUUGCAUUUCUGGAGGAAUGACAGAGACUAGCGCCAUCUUCAGAGACUUGAAGGAGGCAGGAGUAGGGUCCUUAUCACAGGCCCAUUGAAUUUACCAGUCUGGCCCCUGCAAAAACUGGAUGGGUCACAGCAGAUGACCGUGGACAACUGGAGACUCAACCAACCAGGGCAGCCUCUAAGAAGGACGUGGCAUCUUUGCCGGAGUGGGUUAAUACCAUCCUGGGUGUAUGGGAUGUGGCUGUUGAUCUGGCCGACAUGUACAUCCACGGCCUUCCCCCAGGCUGUGUUAAUUUUCCAGCGUGUUAAUCAGACUGAUGAGCAAGAAGCAGCAGGCGUGUUGGAAGCCUUGGUGGAAUGUGUCUGCUCUGAAGGCUGGAGACAGGCAAACUGAAAGAUUCAGGGCUCCGCCACAUUGGGGGAGUUUUAAAAGGUCCAGUGGUGUGGGCAUGUCGGGUCAUCUCCUCUGACGUAAAGGGCAGCUCAUUGCACCCUGUCCCUUCCACCAUCAGGAAAGAAGCACAACUCUCAGUGGCGUCUCUGGGUUUGGGGAACAGCGCAUUCAACACUGGGGACUCCUGCUUUGGCCCAUUUCUUGGGUGACACAGAAGGCUGCAAGUUUGGAGCGUCUAUGAUGCAUGCAUCCGUGCUUGGGACACGUGACCCGCCAGACCCUGGGGUCCUAGAGGUAUCUGUAGGAGAAAAGCUCCCAUAGGAAAGCCGUAGUGCAGGUCCCGAGGUGCUGGAACAAGGCCAUGCCAUUUGCAGAAGAGAAGGGCUCCUGAGAUGCCACCAGGCCCCAUUAGAAACUAAGCAUCUGACUGGGGGACAUCCAGUGGCCAAGUGGCCACAACUUUUCAUCAUGAGCUGAUGAGCCACCUGCCAGCUCACAAGGCCAGGCCUCUGUCACAACACAGAAGGGCACAUCAGGGAUGGGCUCACAAAGGUCCCGAAGCUGCAUGAACAGGAGGCCUAGAUCCCAUGCCACCUACCACUGUUGCACCAAUGCCCCUCUCAGCUCACACCUCGUGGGGGUCUCCCCGUGACCAGCUGAGAGGACGGACAAGGCUGAGGUUGGUUCGUGCAUGGAUCGGGCUCAGUGUUGGUGUGCGCUGAAGACAAUUGCGGUUGCACUCACUUCCUGCUGGGGGCGUGGCCUCAAAGACAGUGGGCGGAGCUUUGGGUGGACCCCUGGCCACCUAUGUGUGUAAAGAGAGAAGUGGCCUGAGGUCAGGGUAUGCGUGGGCUCAGGGGCAGUGGCUGAACUGGUCGGGAGAGUCUGCAAGGAGCAAGACAGGAAGAAUGGGAAGAUGUGGGGGAGGCGUGUGCGUGGACUGGGGGAGGGGCACACCGCGUGAGGAUCCUCGUCUCCCACGUUAACCCCUGGGAGCAUCCGGUGCACAGGGACACUAAACAACCAGGUGGACGGGAUGACCCUGCCAGCCUUUGUCCUGGGCGGCCACCGCACUUGGGCCACAGGCUCAUGAAGUGGAACAGUUACGGUGGCAGAGCUGGACGCCACUCCUGGGCCCGAGAGAAGGUGUUUCUACUCAUCGAGGCUGCUGUGGUUGCUGCACCUCUGCGUGUCUGACCUGUCAGCUACUGAGGCCGACUCUAAGCUCCCGAGAUGGUACCAUCCCCUUGAGGCGGCCAACCAGCCAGGCACUUGGUGGCAAGUUAAUUUCAUUGGACCCCCUUCCAUCUUGGAAAAGGCAGUGAGUCACCGGGAUCCAUUGACGUGAUUCUGGAUAUGGGCUUGCAUUUCCUGAUUUUAGAGUCUGGGCCAACCCCGCUGUCUAUGGGCUCACAGGGUGGCUGAUUCACUGGCGUGGAUCCUGAGCAACACCACCCAUGGCCAAGGGAUUGACCUUCUGGGAAAAGUGCAGCAGCAGGCACGUGGCCACGGGACCCACCCCUCCACUGUAGACUGCACGUCCAGGGCUGCCCGCCUGUGAGAGCGGUGGCGCGGCUCUCAGUGCACGGCUGGAUGACACCCUGGAAUCACCCUUCAGGGAGCAAUUGCUCCUUCAGCUAAGCGAUCGUGUGGCACUGUGUCCGCUCGAGACAGCAUACGGGGUAGAAAGAGGAGUGGCUCCCCUCGCUCUUACUCCUGGGACCCACAUGGGGAAUUUGUGGCUCCGGUCCUGGUUUUGGGUGUGAGAGUGUGCGUGCAUGUGCUUCCACAGGGGACGUGGUAAGGGUUCCACCCAACUUCAAGCUGCCGUUCUGCCUGUCUCUCUGGGCCCCCGUGCCAGUGGCGCAGCAGGCACAGAAAGGCGACUCCAUGCGGGCAGGAUGCGAGGUCCCGGCCAUCAUGAGGAACCAGUGCUGCUGGAUGGUGGGGACAGGGAGGGUGUGACGGGCACUCAGGUGUCCACCCAGCGAUUGUGACCAAGUGUGCUGGAGAAGAUGUGCCUGGAUGGAGGAGUGGAUGCACGAAGCAGGUAGUCAAGCAUAUCACUAGAAGUGGAACGCUGGGUCAACUGUGUGUGUAUAUGAAUUUCAAGAGCUGUUAUCGAAUGCCUUCCAUCGAUGGUGCCAAUUCACACGUCCAGCACUGCAGUAUGAGAAGGUGUUUGCCCCUCAGCUUUGCCAACAGCGCCCCAUCAAAUUUUGCUUCUUUGUUGAUCUUUCAGUGAAUAACUGUAUCAUUUUAGCUGUAAUUGGCAUUUCUCUCAGUAUGAGUGAGGUCAAGCAUCUUUUC
Long non-coding RNA from Equus caballus (horse), 2995 nucleotides. The record is from Ensembl. NCBI's taxonomy places the organism in Eukaryota, Metazoa, Chordata, Mammalia, Perissodactyla, Equidae.